This 442-nucleotide ribosomal RNA is filed under the name uncultured bacterium. Its description in RNAcentral is "partial 16S ribosomal RNA". It matches the Rfam family "Bacterial small subunit ribosomal RNA", at positions 338 to 795 of the family's 1533-position model. The record is from RNAcentral.
CCUACGGGUGGCAGCAGUGGGGAAUAUUGGGCAAUGGGCGCAAGCCUGACCCAGCAACGCCGAGUGAAGGAAGAAGGCUUUCGGGUUGUAAACUUCUUUUAAGAGGGAAGAGCAGAGGACGGUACCUCUUGAAAAAGCCCCGGCUAACUACGUGCCAGCAGCCGCGGUAAUACGUAGGUGGCAAGCGUUGUCCGGCUUUACUGGGUGUAAAGGGCGUGCAGCCGGGCAGACAAGUCAGAUGUGAAGUCCCGCGGCUCAACCGGGGAACUGAAUGUGAAACUGUUUUACUUGAGUACCGGAGAGGUCAUCGGAAUUCCUUGGGUAGCGGUGAAAUGCGUAGAUAUAAGGAAGAACACCAGUGGCGAAGGCGGAUGACUGGACGGCAACUGACGGUGAGGCGCGAAAGCGUGGGGAGCAAACAGGAUUAGAUACCCGAGUAGUC